GGGGGAAUCCUGCUUACCUUGCUGCACUGAGUCCCCCCUCCAUGCUCUGCAACUUUUAGUUGGUUCAAGAACACAGAUAUUUUCUGAGAGGAAGGAUCCCUCGUGUGGUCUGCAGCUGCUAGAGGAGGUUCCAGGGGAGAUCCGGGAAAUUACAGGCCAGUCAGCCUGACGUCAAUACCGGAUUUCAAGUCCCUCAGAGUUCUUCACCAGGCUGGAUAUUCAGUGUAACAAAAAGGUG
Long non-coding RNA from Eublepharis macularius, 238 nucleotides. RefSeq lists it as uncharacterized. NCBI's taxonomy places the organism in Eukaryota, Metazoa, Chordata, Lepidosauria, Squamata, Eublepharidae. The transcript is spliced from 3 exons. The record is from RefSeq and is a predicted model, not a curated record.